AGUGAACGCUGGCGGUAGGCCUAACACAUGCAAGUCGAACGGCAGCACAGUAAGAGCUUGCUCUUACGGGUGGCGAGUGGCGAACGGGUGAGGAAUACAUCGGAAUCUACUUUUUCGUGGGGGAUAACGUAGGGAAACUUACGCUAAUACCGCAUACGACCUACGGGUGAAAGCAGGGGAUCUUCGGACCUUGCGCGAUUGAAUGAGCCGAUGUCGGAUUAGCUAGUUGGCGGGGUAAAGGCCCACCAAGGCGACGAUCCGUAGCUGGUCUGAGAGGAUGAUCAGCCACACUGGAACUGAGGCACGGUCCAGACUCCUACGGGAGGCAGCAGUGGGGAAUAUUGGACAAUGGGCGCAAGCCUGAUCCAGCCAUACCGCGUGGGUGAAGAAGGCCUUCGGGUUGUAAAGCCCUUUUGUUGGGAAAGAAAAGCAGCAGGUUAAUACCCCGCUGUUCUGACGGUACCCAAAGAAUAAGCACCGGCUAACUUCGUG
Molecule: ribosomal RNA, 492 nt
Filed under: uncultured bacterium
Lineage: Bacteria
Description: partial 16S ribosomal RNA
Rfam family: Bacterial small subunit ribosomal RNA
Source: RNAcentral